AUUGAACGCUGGCGGCAGGCCUAACACAUGCAAGUCGAGCGGAUGAAGGGAGCUUGCUCCUGGAUUCAGCGGCGGACGGGUGAGUAAUGCCUAGGAAUCUGCCUGGUAGUGGGGGAUAACGUCCGGAAACGGGCGCUAAUACCGCAUACGUCCUGAGGGAGAAAGUGGGGGAUCUUCGGACCUCACGCUAUCAGAUGAGCCUAGGCCGGAUUAGCUAGUUGGUGGGGUAAAGGCCUACCAAGGCGACGAUCCGUAACUGGUCUGAGAGGAUGAUCAGUCACACUGGAACUGAGACACGGUCCAGACUCCUACGGGAGGCAGCAGUGGGGAAUAUUGGACAAUGGGCGAAAGCCUGACCCAGCCAUGCCGCGUGUGUGAAGAAGGUCUUCGGAUUGUAAAGCACUUUAAGUUGGGAGGAAGGGCAGUAAGUUAAUACCUUGCUGUUUUGACGUUACCAACAGAAUAAGCACCGGCUAACUUCGUG
Molecule: ribosomal RNA, 484 nt
Filed under: uncultured bacterium
Lineage: Bacteria
Description: partial 16S ribosomal RNA
Rfam family: Bacterial small subunit ribosomal RNA
Source: RNAcentral